CCUCUAAGAAUUCUAAAUUAUUUUUAGUGCCUGUACCAGCCUUUGGUCGUGAUUCGACCCUCCAGUGGACUUCAGCCUGGCAAUGCCUCAGUAGCCAUCCGUACGCGAUUCAUCUUGACUUUCAGGAUCAUGACUGAAGUUGGGAACAUCACCCUUUGCAGCUGGAGUAAACUGUAUGGAGAGGCAGGACAUUAUUCUACAUGGGUCCAAAAACAAACUGGGAUUGACAGCAAAAUCAC
This 239-nucleotide long non-coding RNA is filed under the name Lepisosteus oculatus (spotted gar). RNAcentral's name for it is "lncRNA (ENSLOCG00000022773.1)". Lineage: Eukaryota; Metazoa; Chordata; Actinopteri; Semionotiformes; Lepisosteidae. The record is from RNAcentral.